Molecule: ribosomal RNA, 408 nt
Filed under: uncultured bacterium
Lineage: Bacteria
Description: bacterial SSU rRNA
Rfam family: Bacterial small subunit ribosomal RNA
Source: RNAcentral
UUUUGGACAAUGGGGGCAAGCCUGAUCCAGCCAUUCCGCGUGAGGGAAGAAGGCCUUCGGGUUGUAAAGCUCUUUCGCAACCCCAAGAACACCUUACUUUCUAAUAAAGAGUGAGGUUGACGGGUACCUUGAUAAGAAGCACCGGCUAACUACGUGCCAGCAGCCGCGGGUAAUACGUAGGGGGCGAGCGGUAAUCGGAAUUACUGGGCGUAAAGCGUGCGCAGGGCGGCUUUGUAAGUCAGAUGUGAGAUUCUCCGAGCUCAACUUGGGAACUGCGUUUGAAACUACAAGGCUAGAAUAUGUCAGAGGGGGGUAGAAUUCCACGUGUAGCAGUGAAAUGCGUAGAGAUGUGGAGGAAUACCAAUGGCGAAGGCAGCCCCCGGGAGUAAUAUUACGCUCAGCACGAGG